This 342-nucleotide ribosomal RNA is filed under the name Triticum aestivum (bread wheat). RNAcentral describes it as "partial small subunit ribosomal RNA". The record is from RNAcentral. Lineage: Eukaryota; Viridiplantae; Streptophyta; Magnoliopsida; Poales; Poaceae.
AUGAACCGUCUGCGGGCGGUAGCCAGCCUCGACAGGGACGACCUGGACCCAGACCCGGUCGCGGCCACCACGGAGGCCCUCGCCAAGGUCGACCUCUCCGACGGCCCGAAUGCCACCGCCACCGCCAAGUCCGGCUCCAGCAAUCCCCGUCAAGCAGCUAGAGGCGGCGGCUGCGACGUGGGCAAGUCGCUCGACUACCUGUACCGCGCAUGCAGGAUCGCUACCCUCACCGUGAAGCACAUCGACGUCGCCGUCUCCGUCCUCUCCCGCUUCAUGGAGCCCAAGAAGCUUGCCAGCCUCGCCGAGUUCUGUGACGACCACGCCUACAUCUCCGAGGUCUGA